Molecule: non-coding RNA, 263 nt
Filed under: Corynebacterium epidermidicanis
Lineage: Bacteria; Bacillati; Actinomycetota; Actinomycetes; Mycobacteriales; Corynebacteriaceae
Source: RNAcentral
UACUUUAAAAAGUGUUGCAAUGUUUUAAGGGAAUGCCCAAACGGCAGCGGCCCUCGCCACUGUAUGUGCCUGGUCGGUAGGUUGUGUAGGCAAAUGUGUUGCCUACUGGGAUCAAGGUCCGACCGCCCGAGCCAGUAGUUCACUGUGAUGAUUAUCUGUCAUGGGAAGGACUGCAGGCGUUGGUGCGACAUGUGUAAGUUACGCGUGUGCGCAGCACGGGUUAUGGCAUGAGCCAGGAGACCUAUUGCAACGUAUCCACUACU